This is a non-coding RNA of Nelumbo nucifera (sacred lotus), 1180 nucleotides long. Lineage: Eukaryota; Viridiplantae; Streptophyta; Magnoliopsida; Proteales; Nelumbonaceae. The record is from RefSeq and is a predicted model, not a curated record.
UAUAGCUAUUAUCAUUUGGUCCCAAACCCAGCCUAGCCCGGCCCAUGAUCACCCCCUCAGUACUUCGUUGUUCUCAGUUCACGUACUUGUGAGAGUAGGAACCCAGAAACCUCAAAGCUGAAACCCUAACUCCAGUCUACUCGUCUCCUUUGAUUUUACCUUUCACAUCUCAUCGCAUUCCUCUUUCUCAUCUCCAUUUGUAUUCGGUAAGAGUCCGUUGCUACUGUAAGCCAGAAAUGUGAAGAUGAAAUCUAUUUUUCACAAUCCAAGAAUGCUGCUGCCAACGGCCUAACACCGAAGUAGCCUAUAGCGGUGUAGCCAAGAAGGAGGGUGAGGCUCACCCAAAAGAAGAAGCUGGAAGACCCAUUCCGCGCUUGUUCGAGCUCCUUAGUCUGCAACCACUCUAAAUCCACUCUAAUUAAGAGGAAGCAACCUCAACUGUUCUAGAAUCAAGAGCCCAAGAAGAUUUUUCUGUUGGCGACCUUCAAUAGACUCCUCGUCUUCCCCCGGAUCAACCAUGGGAGAAGUUGGAGCUCAAAUAUUCGAAGCUUAGUUAAUGUGGUUGUUGCUGAGAUCCAUCCCGCUUGGGCGAAAGAAGAGAAUGCUCAAGAUCAGCCCUUUUUUCUUUCAAAGGGGGUUAGACAGUUUCUCGACAGUGUCGAUAGGGUUAGGAUUGGGGUUUCUAGUGCAUCAGUAGUAGGAACAAAUGAUGAUGUAAGCACGGAGACUUGUAAAUCCUAUGCACCACUAAACUGCAAAAAAAAAACAUUUUGGUGCUAGAGUUACUGAGGUUGUUUGGAAGACCUCAAAAGUUGGCCAUGUUCGAAAUGCAAUCCUUGCCAAGCCAAAAAUUGGUGCCAAACCUGUUCCUUCCCAUCCAGCUGAAUAUAACAGGUUGAUGAACGCCUUCAGUCGGGCUGGUAAUGUCAAUGAAGUUCUUUGACUCUUGCGUGAUAUGAAAGAAGCACAAUGCCAUCCCAAUGUUCUAUGCCAUAACACUGUUCUUAAUAACUCUGCAUUUUGAUGCCUUAAGGGCAUCAAUUCAGGGGUAUUUUCUGCCUUAGAAUAGUCAAGAUGUGUCUUUUUCCUAGUUAAAUGCAAUGCUUUGGCCUCUAAGGGUCUCUGUGCAAAUUCUAGGGAAAAUUGUAAAGUUUUCAUGGCUGAAAUGCAGAUUUUGGGA